CAGCAGCCACGGGAAAACGUAGGGCGCAAGCGUUGUCCGGAAUUAUUGGGCGUAAAGAGCUCGUAGGCGGUCUGUCGCGUCUGGUGUGAAAUCCCGAGGCUCAACCUCGGGCUUGCAUCGGGUACGGGCAGACUAGAGUGCGGUAGGGGAGACUGGAAUUCCUGGUGUAGCGGUGGAAUGCGCAGAUAUCAGGAGGAACACCGAUGGCGAAGGCAGGUCUCUGGGCCGCAACUGACGCUGAGGAGCGAAAGCAUGGGGAGCGAACAGGAUUAGAUACCCCAGUAGUCCCUGUCUCUUAUAC
This 301-nucleotide ribosomal RNA is filed under the name uncultured bacterium. RNAcentral describes it as "partial 16S ribosomal RNA". It matches the Rfam family "Bacterial small subunit ribosomal RNA", at positions 509 to 807 of the family's 1533-position model. The record is from RNAcentral.